GUCCCGAUAGCUCAACGGAUAGAGCAUCAGCCUUCUAAGCUGAGGGUUAAAGGUUCGAAUCCUUUUCGGGACG
This 73-nucleotide transfer RNA is filed under the name Ignavibacteriaceae bacterium. Its description in RNAcentral is "tRNA-Arg". It matches the Rfam family "tRNA". Rfam says of the family: Transfer RNA (tRNA) molecules are approximately 80 nucleotides in length. Their secondary structure includes four short double-helical elements and three loops (D, anti-codon, and T loops). Lineage: Bacteria; Pseudomonadati; Ignavibacteriota; Ignavibacteria; Ignavibacteriales; Ignavibacteriaceae. The record is from RNAcentral.